UACGUAGGGUGCAAGCGUUGUCCGGAAUUAUUGGGCGUAAAGAGCGUGUAGGCGGCUCGAUUAGUCCGCUGUGAAAGUCCAGGGCUCAACCCUGGAAUGGCGGUGGAUACUGUCGAGCUAGAGUCCGGAAGGGGCGAGUGGAAUUCCUGGUGUAGCGGUGAAAUGCGCAGAUAUCAGGAGGAACACCUAUGGCGAAGGCAGCUCGCUGGGACGUGACUGACGCUGAGACGCGAAAGCGUGGGGAGCAAACAGG
RNAcentral lists this ribosomal RNA (253 nucleotides) under uncultured bacterium. Its description in RNAcentral is "partial 16S ribosomal RNA". It matches the Rfam family "Bacterial small subunit ribosomal RNA", at positions 524 to 776 of the family's 1533-position model. The record is from RNAcentral.